Molecule: ribosomal RNA, 246 nt
Filed under: Triticum aestivum (bread wheat)
Lineage: Eukaryota; Viridiplantae; Streptophyta; Magnoliopsida; Poales; Poaceae
Description: partial small subunit ribosomal RNA
Source: RNAcentral
AUGAUUGGCAUCUUUUGGAACUGUAGGGGGGCAGGUAAGAAGGGCAUGUCUACCUGCCUCACUGACAUGAUUAAUGCCAAUGAGGUGGAUUUCCUUGGAUUACAAGAAACUAUGAAGAGCAACUAUUCCCCUUCGUUUUUUAGAAAAAUGGACCCACAACAAAAAUUCCAUUGGGAGUGGAAUCCUUCUAGGGGGAAAUCUGGAGGCAUCCUUUGUGGGGUUAAUAAAAUCAAGUUUGACAUUCUU